Molecule: ribosomal RNA, 253 nt
Filed under: uncultured bacterium
Lineage: Bacteria
Description: partial 16S ribosomal RNA
Rfam family: Bacterial small subunit ribosomal RNA
Source: RNAcentral
UACGGAGGAUGCAAGCGUUAUCCGGAAUUAUUGGGCGUAAAGCGUCCGUAGGUGGCUAAUCAAGUCUGCUGUCAAAGCGUGGAGCUUAACUCCAUACCGGCGGUGGAAACUGUUGAGCUAGAGUGCGAUAGGGGUAGCAGGAAUUCCCAGUGUAGCGGUGAAAUGCGUAGAGAUUGGGAAGAACACCAGCGGCGAAAGCGUGCUACUGGGUCUGCACUGACACUGAGGGACGAAAGCUAGGGGAGCGAAAGGG